GUCUACAGCCAUGCCACCUUGAACUCACCUAGUUGCGUCUGAUCUUGGAAGUUAAUCACGGUCAGGCAUGGUUAGUAGUUGGAUGGCAGAAUGCCUGGGAAUAUGAAGUGCUUUAAAAA
Cricetulus griseus (Chinese hamster) is the source of this 119-nucleotide ribosomal RNA. NCBI's taxonomy places the organism in Eukaryota, Metazoa, Chordata, Mammalia, Rodentia, Cricetidae. The record is from Ensembl.